AUUGAACGCUGGCGGCAUGCCUUACGCAUGCAAGUCGAACGGCAGCACGGGUGCUUGCACCUGGUGGCGAGUGGCGAACGGGUGAGUAAUAUAUCGGAACGUACCUUAUUGUGGGGGAUAACGCAGCGAAAGCUGUGCUAAUACCGCAUAAUCCCUAAGGGGGAAAGCGGGGGACCGUAAGGCCUCGCGCAAUUAGAGCGGCCGAUACCUGAUUAGCUAGUUGGUGAGGUAAAGGCUCACCAAGGCAACGAUCAGUAGCAGGUCUGAGAGGACGAUCAGCCACACUGGGACUGAGACACGGCCCAGACUCCUACGGGAGGCAGCAGUGGGGAAUUUUGGACAAUGGGGGCAACCCUGAUCCAGCAAUGCCGCGUGAGUGAAGAAGGCCUUCGGGUUGUAAAGCUCUUUUGUCAGGGAAGAAACAGCAGCUCUAACACAGUUUGCGAAUGACGGUACCUGAAGAAUAAGCACCGGCUAACUACGUGCCAGCAGCCGCCGUAA
Molecule: ribosomal RNA, 501 nt
Filed under: uncultured bacterium
Lineage: Bacteria
Description: partial 16S ribosomal RNA
Rfam family: Bacterial small subunit ribosomal RNA
Source: RNAcentral